Molecule: ribosomal RNA, 482 nt
Filed under: uncultured bacterium
Lineage: Bacteria
Description: partial 16S ribosomal RNA
Rfam family: Bacterial small subunit ribosomal RNA
Source: RNAcentral
AUUGAACGCUGGCGGCAUGCCUUACACAUGCAAGUCGAACGGUAACGGGCCUUCGGGUGCCGACGAGUGGCGAACGGGUGAGUAAUACAUCGGAACGUGCCCGAUCGUGGGGGAUAACGAGGCGAAAGCUUUGCUAAUACCUCAUACGAUCUACGGAUGAAAGCAGGGGACCGCAAGGCCUUGCGCGGACGGAGCGGCCGAUGGCAGAUUAGGUAGUUGGUGGGAUAAAAGCUUACCAAGCCGACGAUCUGUAGCUGGUCUGAGAGGAUGAUCAGCCACACUGGGACUGAGACACGGCCCAGACUCCUACGGGAGGCAGCAGUGGGGAAUUUUGGACAAUGGGCGCAAGCCUGAUCCAGCCAUGCCGCGUGCAGGAUGAAGGCCUUCGGGUUGUAAACUGCUUUUGUACGGAACGAAAAGCCUUCUUUUAAUACAGGAGGGUCAUGACGGUACCGUAAGAAUAAGCACCGGCUAACUACGUG